GCCACUUCAUUGGAGCCAAUGUGCUAAAAAUCCCAAACAAGCCAAACCCAGCUCCUGUCCGGGCAGCUGUGACUGCUGGCCCACCUAGUUGCUUCUUGGCCACUCUGAUUCUAUAAGUAUCAGAUCACAGGAGUGACAGCUUGGAUACUGGAAAGGAACCUGCUCAGAAAGGCAGUUCCGAUUACACCACCAAGAAGCAUGAAGAAAAACGGGGCAGUCAUGGAAGUAACAAGAGAAUGUUAAUCACAGAAAAACAAAGAGAAAGUGUAAAAUUUAUGGAAGAUCUUCAGGAAGUUCAAGGAUUGAAGCCCAAGUCAUGUGUCUUACCCACUGAAUGUGUGGUUUGCCUGCCUCGAGAGCAGGAAGCGUCACGGGAAGGAGGCUGCCAUUUAUAUUCUGAAGGUGAACCCACUCUCAGAAGGAGGACCUCCAAGGAUGCUUUAUUUUCUACUUCAAGGCA
Zalophus californianus (California sea lion) is the source of this 460-nucleotide long non-coding RNA. RefSeq lists it as uncharacterized. The record is from RefSeq and is a predicted model, not a curated record. NCBI's taxonomy places the organism in Eukaryota, Metazoa, Chordata, Mammalia, Carnivora, Otariidae. The transcript is spliced from 3 exons.